This 252-nucleotide ribosomal RNA is filed under the name uncultured bacterium. RNAcentral describes it as "partial 16S ribosomal RNA". It matches the Rfam family "Bacterial small subunit ribosomal RNA", at positions 524 to 776 of the family's 1533-position model. The record is from RNAcentral.
UACGGAGGAUGCGAGCGUUAUCCGGAUUUAUUGGGUUUAAAGGGUGCGCAGGCGGCACGGCAAGCCGGCGGUCAAAUCGCGGGGCUCAACCCCGCCCAGCCGUCGGAACUGCCGGGCUAGAGUAGGCGAGAAGUGCGCGGAAUGCGUGGUGUAGCGGUGAAAUGCAUAGAUAUCACGCAGAACUCCGAUUGCGAAGGCAGCGCACCGGCGCCCUACCGACGCUCAGGCACGAAAGCGUGGGUAUCGAACAGG